Molecule: transfer RNA, 66 nt
Filed under: Habrodera capensis
Lineage: Eukaryota; Metazoa; Arthropoda; Insecta; Coleoptera; Carabidae
Description: tRNA-Asn
Source: RNAcentral
UUAAUUGAAGCCAAAAAAGAGGCAUAUCACUGUUAAUGAUAUCAUUGAAAUCAAUUUCCAAUUAAA